CAUAGUUUUGGUCCUAAACUUACUGCUACUUUUAAUCAAAUUUACACAUGCAAGCAUCCACACACCAGUGAAAUACGCCCUAACACAGUAUAAAUGGAGCAGGUAUCAGGCACAACCGCCAGCCAAAAACACCAAGCUUUGCCACACCCACACGGGCCCUCAGCAGUGAUAAACAUUAAGCAAUAAGCGAACACACCAAACUAAAGCUUGACUUAGUUAUGAUUAACAGGGCCGGUAAACCUCGUGCCAGCCACCGCGGUUACACGGCGGGCCCAAAGCAGCAGACUCUCGGCGUAAAUAGUGGCCAGAAUAAUUACCCCCACAUUAAAAACUAAACCAUACCCUAACCGUAAAACACAGGCUAAAUGAAAUCAAGCACUUUUAAUAACAGGUAAUUUGACCCACGAAAACUAAGAAACAAACUAGGAUUAGAUACCCUACUAUGCUUAGUCGUUAAUAUGAUAUUAUAGUACUAAAAUAUCCGCCAGAAAACUACGAGCGAAAAGCUUAAAACUCAAAGGACUUGGCGGUGCUCCAUACCGACUUAGAGGAGCCUGUCCUAUAAUCGAUACCCCACGCUAAACCCCACCAAUCUUUGCCAUACCAGCCUAUAUACCGCCGUCGUCAACCCACCUCAUGAGAGAAAAACAGUGAGUACAAAAGUUCAAUAACUAAAACGUCAGGUCAAGGUGUAGCUAA
Molecule: ribosomal RNA, 699 nt
Filed under: Sceloporus gadsdeni (Lagoon spiny lizard)
Lineage: Eukaryota; Metazoa; Chordata; Lepidosauria; Squamata; Phrynosomatidae
Description: partial 12S ribosomal RNA
Rfam family: Bacterial small subunit ribosomal RNA
Source: RNAcentral